Molecule: long non-coding RNA, 811 nt
Filed under: Brassica napus (rape)
Lineage: Eukaryota; Viridiplantae; Streptophyta; Magnoliopsida; Brassicales; Brassicaceae
Description: long non-coding RNA (BNAP_LNC012347)
Source: RNAcentral
AUAAGAGACAAGUGUGCGGAUUGUCAAUGUGAGCCCUUGAUAACUUUUAAUCUAAUGGUCACAUUUAGUCCACAUAUGUAUUUCUUCCUCUGUCCAAUCCCACUUUUCUCUCCUCUGUCCCACCACGUUUCUUCUCUGCUCUCUUCACCUUCUUCCAUGCGAAUCUUCUUUCUCUCUACACCAUUCCUAUUUCCUACAGUCUAAAACAUAAAUCUUUGGGACUUCGUUGUUCCAAAGCAGUUCUUUUGUUUCUUUAAAGUUUGUCUUCUUUGUAAAAAAUCGGAUCUCUCUCUCAUCAACCUUUCUAAUCUUCCACCUUUUGAAUCCAGCUGUGCAUCUCCUUGCCAUCGUCUCUAGAUCCAGUUUAACGAAGAACCCGAGCGACUUCGCGUUGACAAGGAGCUUGGUAACCACCUAAUCUAUCACCCCAACCCCACAGAGAUACUUCUCCAUCUGCAUCUCCUAGGCUCCUAGCAGCAACGAGGAGAUAAACUAGAUGAUUUUCACGAUCUUUUGUCUGUGUUAGUUUGAAAUUUUAUGUCAUUAGCUUUCAUUUAUCAGGUUUAAUUUUUUUUGUUUGCUAAGAAAUGACUUUCUAGCAUUUCUAUAAUGUUAUGAGAAUGUAAGAUUUCUUUAUGAGAUAAAUCUAAUGUUUUUAAUUAAUUUAUAUAGUUUUGAAUUCAAAACAAAAUAAAUCACUUUGACGAUAGCAACAACAAAUUUGUUGCUAAAUGUGAUACAAUAUUACCCACAAAACGUGUUGUUGCUAACUGGAGACCAAAGUUUAGAUGCAAAAUUUUGUAGCCAAAUU